UCAGGGGCCUCCGGCGCGAGGCCCCCUUCGUGGUCAAGAUGGCGGCGCCCAGGCGGGCCGCGCCGAGGUGAGCUGGAGCCGGGCCCGGAGAGGGGUCAGUCAGCCACGCCCAGGACUUGGACCCCGGGGUCGUCUCCCGUUUCCCGGGGAGCGGCGGGUUGAUGGGCGCUACGGGAUAAGGAAAAGGAUGUGAAGCUCACUGAAGAGGCUUGGGUUGGGAGUGCUGGAGGAGUGUACAGGUGGGGAAAAUGUACCAGCGUGUAUGCCUACUGGGACCACGUUUUCCAGAACAGUUAAGCCCAGUGUCAACUGUGCUGUCCCACCUUCCUCAUUUCUGUGUGUGUGUGUCCCCAUGAUGAAAACAUCAUUAAAGUAAAAUAUAAUGAAUAGACUCUUAAGAAGCAGAGUCUACUGAAAGUCCUGGAAAAUAUGAAAGCACUAAUAUUCAUGGACAGCUCUACACUCUGAAAGUUACUCCAAAUGUUGUUGAUCUCUCUUUUGUCUAGGAGUUUUUCAAAUUUUCUACCAUGAUCAUUUGUUAGUUUUAUAAUUACAUGAUAAAGGCAUUACAUCAUACAA
Globicephala melas (long-finned pilot whale) is the source of this 579-nucleotide long non-coding RNA. RefSeq lists it as uncharacterized. The record is from RefSeq and is a predicted model, not a curated record. Lineage: Eukaryota; Metazoa; Chordata; Mammalia; Artiodactyla; Delphinidae.